UGCAGUCGANGGUGCAGUAGUGAUACUGUAUAGUGGCAAACGGGUGCGUAACGCGUAAGCAACCUGCCCCAGACCGGGGGAUAGCCUGGCGAAAGCCGGGGUAAACCCGCAUAGUCCCCUUUGGCCGCCUGGCUUUGGGGGUAAACAUUGUAUGGGUUUGGGAGGGGCUUGCGUCUGAUUAGGUAGUUGGUGGGGUAGUGGCCCACCAAGCCGAUGAUCAGUAGGGGUUCUGAGAGGAUUGGCCCCCACAUGGGUACUGAGAGACGGACCCAACUCCUACGGGAGGCAGCAGUAGGGAAUAUUGGGCAAUGGGGGCAACCCUGACCCAGCCAUGCCGCGUGCAGGAUGAAGGCGCUCAGCGUCGUAAACUGCUUUUAUCUACGAAGAACUGUAUUCUUGCGGGGGUACCUGACGGUAGUAGGUGAAUAAGCACCGGCUAACUCCGUGCCAGCAGCCGCGGUAAUACGGAGGGUGCGAGCGUUGUCCGGAUUUAUUGGGUUUAAAGGGUGCGUAGGUGGGCGACUAAGUCUGGUUUGAAAGCCGGUGGCUCAACCAUCGGAUGUGGCUGGAAACUGGUGGUCUUGAAUGGGUUGGCGGCUGCCGGAACGGGUCAUGUAGCGGUGAAAUGCAUAGAUAUGACCCAGAACACCGAUUGCGAAGGCAGGCAGCUACGACCCGAUUGACACUGAGGCACGAGAGCCGGGGUAGCGAACAGGAUUAGAUACCCUGGUAGUCCCGGCCGUAAACGAUGAUUACUGGCUGUCUGUGUUUAAGCAUGGGUGGCUGAGCGAAAGCGUUAAGUAAUCCACCUGGGGAGUACGCUGGCAACAGUGAAACUCAAAGGAAUUGACGG
This 853-nucleotide ribosomal RNA is filed under the name uncultured bacterium. RNAcentral describes it as "bacterial SSU rRNA". It matches the Rfam family "Bacterial small subunit ribosomal RNA", at positions 56 to 916 of the family's 1533-position model. The record is from RNAcentral.